UGACAUUCCUUGACAUUCAUAAAAUAGACAACCGUUUUUUAACAGGAGGCAGCAACAGAACAUGGCUUUCCAGGCCCUGUCCUACUGUAUAUGCCACAUGUCAUUGUAACUUCUCCACCUGAAAUCUACAUGCUUGACCUUUGACCUGCUACACUCUAAUUAAGUAGUGUUGUGGUGAGUAGAUAACCCAUUAAAACAACAAGAAAUGAAACGCUUCAGUUAAACAAGCUUACAUUUAGCCUUUAAAGUGCAACUACACAUGCAGAAUUAAACUAAAAAAAACACGUUAAAAACCAUUGUGGGAAGGAUUAUGUACAUGGUUUCUGUUCCUGUCGGACUGAUGAUCACAUGGGUUGGGACAGGAAGUGCGGUGGCAAAGCUCAGGAAGAUACGCCCUCUGCUCCCCGGCUGUGAGCAGCAGGAACUUCCUGUUUAGAUAUCAUCAUUCAAAUGUACAAUUCACACACAUGAAUCUGUGAAUAAAUUCUUGUUAUUGUGGUUUAA
Molecule: long non-coding RNA, 504 nt
Organism: Micropterus dolomieu (smallmouth bass)
Lineage: Eukaryota; Metazoa; Chordata; Actinopteri; Centrarchiformes; Centrarchidae
Exons: 2
Source: RefSeq, a predicted model, not a curated record